CAGCACCUCAAGUGGUCAGGAUGAUUAUUGGGCCUAAAGCAUCCGUAGCCGGCUCUGUAAGUUUUCGGUUAAAUCUGUAUGCUCAACAUACAGGCUGCCGGGAAUACUGCAGAGCUAGGGAGUGGGAGAGGUAGACGGUACUCGGUAGGAAGGGGUAAAAUCCUUUGAUCUAUUGAUGACCACCUGUGGCGAAGGCGAUCUACCAGAACACGUCCGACGGUGAGGGAUGAAAGCUGGGGGAGCAAACCGGAUUAGAUACCCGAGUAGUCC
RNAcentral lists this ribosomal RNA (270 nucleotides) under uncultured archaeon. Its description in RNAcentral is "partial 16S ribosomal RNA". It matches the Rfam family "Archaeal small subunit ribosomal RNA", at positions 477 to 747 of the family's 1478-position model. The record is from RNAcentral.